This 253-nucleotide ribosomal RNA is filed under the name uncultured bacterium. RNAcentral describes it as "partial 16S ribosomal RNA". It matches the Rfam family "Bacterial small subunit ribosomal RNA", at positions 524 to 776 of the family's 1533-position model. The record is from RNAcentral.
CACGUAGGGGGCAAGCGUUGUCCGGAUUCAUUGGGCGUAAAGAGCGUGUAGGCGGUCCGGUAAGUCGGUUGUGAAAGUCCAGGGCUCAACCCUGGGAUGCCGAUCGAUACUGUCGGACUAGAGUUCGGAAGAGGCGAGUGGAAUUCCCGGUGUAGCGGUGAAAUGCGCAGAUAUCGGGAGGAACACCAAUGGCGAAGGCAGCUCGCUGGGACGUUACUGACGCUGAGACGCGAAAGCGUGGGGAGCAAACAGG